This 423-nucleotide ribosomal RNA is filed under the name uncultured Anaerofilum sp. RNAcentral's name for it is "bacterial SSU rRNA". It matches the Rfam family "Bacterial small subunit ribosomal RNA", at positions 355 to 794 of the family's 1533-position model. Lineage: Bacteria; Bacillati; Bacillota; Clostridia; Eubacteriales; Oscillospiraceae. The record is from RNAcentral.
UGGGGAAUAUUGCACAAUGGAGGAAACUCUGAUGCAGCGACGCCGCGUGAGGGAAGAAGGUUUUCGGAUUGUAAACCUCUGUCUUCGGGGACGAUAAUGACGGUACCCGAGGAGGAAGCCACGGCUAACUACGUGCCAGCAGCCGCGGUAAAACGUAGGUGGCAAGCGUUGUCCGGAAUUACUGGGUGUAAAGGGAGCGCAGGUGGGACAGCAAGUUCAAUGUGAAAUCUAUGGGCUCAACCCAUAAAAUUGCGUUGGAUACUGCAGUUCUUGAGUGGAGUAGAGGCAGGCGGAAUUCCAGGUGUAGCGGUGGAAUGCGUAGAUAUCUGGAGGAACACCAGUGGCGAAGGCGGCCUGCUGGGCUCUAACUGACACUGAGGCUCGAAAGCGUGGGUAGCAAACAGGAUUAGAUACCCUGGUAGU